AUGACUGCUUCGCCCCAGGACAUUUGGAAGAAUUGGUCCAUCCAGAUCCUGGUGCUCUUCAGCCUCGGGUGCCAGAUCACCCUCUUCCUCUGUGCCGGGAUCCGCAGGCGUGGAGGCCACCCUUUUCGGCGGUCCCUGCUCUGGCUGGCGUAUCAGCUAGCUGACUUCAGCGCGACAUUCGCCCUCGGCCACCUCUCCCUCACGGACGCGCCGCGCGAGCACGUGAUCGUCGCGUUUUGGGCGCCCUUCCUUCUCCUGCACCUUGGAGGCCCGGACAACAUCACCGCAUACUCCCUCGAGGACAACACGCUCUGGAUGCGCCACUCGGUGGAGUCCAUCCUUCAGGUGUUGGGAGCCGUGUAUGUUCUCUACGAGCACAUCGCGGACAAGGAGGCCAAGCUCCGGCUUGCCACCAUCUUGAUGCUCGCCAUCGGUGUUAUCAAGUACUGGGAGAGGAUGUGCGCGCUUCGGGGGGGCAAUCUGGACAGCAUCCGAGGCUCCAUCAAGAAGCAACCAGCUGCCAUGCAUGGACAUUUCCACCCUCACGAUGAAGUGUUGGAUGAGGAAUCCCUUGUGCGACGAGCUCACUCGCUCUUUCACAUAUGCAAGCGUGCCAUAGUUGACUAUACGGUGAUGGAAGAUGAUUCACACGGCCAAGACACCACUGAAAUAAUUCUCAAGGUCAAUUUAUGGCAAUUGAUGGAGAUUGAGCUCUCCCUCAUGUAUGACAUGUUGUACACCAAGGCACCUGUCAUCCACACCUGCUUCGGCUACUUGCAGCGUCUAAGCUCGCCAGUCGCCAUUCUCGCCUCACUGCUGCUGUUCAAGUUCAUUGACAUGGACGACCCCCGCCCAGUUGAUGUGGUCAUCACCUAUAUAUUGUAUGGUGGUGCCAUGUUCAUGGAGACGACAUCGCUGGUGAACGCACUGGGCUCCUCUUGGACAUUUGCCUUCCUGAGUACCACGAGAAGGCAAUGGCUUCGAUACACAGCUCUGUGCAAUAAAAGGUGGGACCGGCUUAGGCGUGUUGUUGCAUGCCUUCAUCAUCUUGUCAGGGUAGGAGGAGGUAGCCGAUACAGAUCAAGAAGCUGGACAUAUACCAUGACUCAGUACAACAUGCUGCACUUUUGCUCUGGCUCUGACAGUGCACUCACCAGGCCUCUGCUUGGCAGUUUGGCCAAAGUGGUGGGUCAAGAUGAGCUUUGGAACAAUGAGCAUUACUCAUGGGUUAUUGACAUGCCGGAGUAUGUCCAAAAGUGUAUCUCUGGACAUAUGCAGAAUAUGUACAAUUGUGUCGGUGUGAACUCACUGGGAAUGCUCAAGAACAGGUGGGGUGAGGAACCUCUGGCUCGCAAGGAGUUGCUCAUAAAAGGCAGCAUAUUCAAAGACUCCCUCGGUGUUGAGUUCCAGGAAUGCAUCAUCAUCUGGCACAUUGGCACUGAUGUUUUCCUCGCCAAGAGCAAGGGAGCCAAAGAAGAGGAGGCACAGAGUGAUGUGGAGGCGAUCAAAAUGAUAUCCAACUACAUGAUGUACCUUCUCGUGAAACAACCAGACAUGCUGCCAGGCCUCCCCCAAAACAGGUUGUACCAACUGACCUGUCAAAGUCUCGAGAAACUCAAGACUCGUGGACAUACAAAAAUGAAAAUCGGUGCUAUGCUCAAGAAUCUGUUUAGCCUUAAGGAUGACCCCGAUUCUAUUUCCAGGGUCACGGACAGAGAGGACCUUGCAGAAAAACUAUAUGAUGAGUAUGACGGAAAAGGCUUCAUCUACGAUGCUCCUCGUCUCCCCUAUGUGGUUAAUCUUGUCAAGGAACUGCUAACAAUGGAGGAGAAUUGCACGGUUGACUUGGUACUGAAACUUGUCUUGGACGUGUGGAUGGAUAUUCUUGUCUACGCAGGCAACAAAUGCAGCAGGAAGUUCCAUGCCGAGAAACUCAACAGUGGCGGUGAGUUGACAACCAUCCUGUGGCUUAUGUCAGAGCACUUCUACCACGUUUAUGCGCAGGACCUGAUCAAAGACAGCAAAAAGGAAACUGAUGUAGCAGAAGACACCAGUCCCCAAGAAGAAGAAGAUGAUGAUAACGUGUAG
Molecule: ribosomal RNA, 2088 nt
Filed under: Triticum aestivum (bread wheat)
Lineage: Eukaryota; Viridiplantae; Streptophyta; Magnoliopsida; Poales; Poaceae
Description: partial small subunit ribosomal RNA
Source: RNAcentral